RNAcentral lists this ribosomal RNA (235 nucleotides) under uncultured Actinomycetales bacterium. RNAcentral's name for it is "partial 16S ribosomal RNA". It matches the Rfam family "Bacterial small subunit ribosomal RNA", at positions 96 to 334 of the family's 1533-position model. Lineage: Bacteria; Bacillati; Actinomycetota; Actinomycetes; Actinomycetales. The record is from RNAcentral.
UGGCGAACGGGUGAGUAACACGUGGGUGAUCUGCCCUGCACUUCGGGAUAAGCUUGGGAAACUGGGUCUAAUACCGGAUAGGAGCCAUCUUUAGUGUGGUGGUUGGAAAGUUUUUUCGGUGUAGGAUGAGCUCGCGGCCUAUCAGCUUGUUGGUGGGGUAAUGGCCUACCAAGGCGGCGACGGGUAGCCGGCCUGAGAGGGUGUACGGCCACAUUGGGACUGAGAUGCGGCCCAG